AUUAAGUGUUCACAACAUUAUAUGCAGUGCUCACAACAUUAUACGUUUUUUGUUGAUGAAGAUGAUGAUCGGUGAUGAUGAUGAGAUUGAUGUAUGAUGAGAUUAAUGUAUGAUGAGAUUGAUGUAUGAUGAGAUGAUUCGGUAAACAUCGGAAAUUUUAUCGGACAUUGCCGAAUCCGGUCAAAAAAUAUAGGACAAAAAUUUAUAAUGCAC
RNAcentral lists this long non-coding RNA (213 nucleotides) under Mytilus galloprovincialis (Mediterranean mussel). Lineage: Eukaryota; Metazoa; Mollusca; Bivalvia; Mytilida; Mytilidae. The record is from RNAcentral.